Molecule: small nuclear RNA, 150 nt
Organism: Neogale vison (American mink)
Lineage: Eukaryota; Metazoa; Chordata; Mammalia; Carnivora; Mustelidae
Gene: U4
Rfam family: U4 spliceosomal RNA
About the family: U4 small nuclear RNA (U4 snRNA) is a component of the major U2-dependent spliceosome. The structure of U4 snRNA from yeast and human has been reported.
Source: Ensembl
AGCUUUGUGCAGCGGCAGUAUCGUAGCCAAUGAGGUUUAUCCGAGGCGCGAUUAUUGCUAAUUGAAACAAAAUGAUUGAGCACUAAGCCUCUUUGGAGAAUGAGGAAACAAAGGACACAAAUAUUUUAAAAAUGGUAAAGACAGACCUAU